UUUGACAUAAUGAUAAAGUGCUAUUUGGGAUAAUGACAAAGUGUAGGAGAAUAAUUGAUGUAAUUUUUUAUGCAUGGGUAAUUAAGACAAGCGCAAAAGUGUAGAGGGGCUUUUCAUAAUUUAGCCUUGCAUUUAUGGUCCUUAAAUUUUAAUUUGUAGCAAUUUAUAUUUACAAGUGAUGUGGCAAUGUUAUUGUUGAUGAUACGACAAUGAUUAAAAUGCUAUGUCACUUCAACAUCAUUAAAAUGUUAAUAUUUAGUCAACUAAAUUAAGUUGUAGAAUUUGAUUACAACAAUUUAAAAACUUUGAACUAAAAAAUAGUAAAAAAACUAAAGUUUGAAGAUCAAAGCGUCACACACCUUAUAGUUUUAGGACCAAAAGUGUAAUUUACCCUUGUUAUAAUUUUUGGCUUAAAUAUUUUGGAUUAUUAAAUUAAGUUUUAUAAUAUAGUUUAUUUGAUUAAAUAGUGAUAUAAAAUUCAUGUGGCAAUGCGAUAGCAGUAUCGUAAUUGAUGUUGUGAAAAUAAUUAACAUGUUAUAUGACCGUGACAUCCACGAUACAUUAUUAUUCAAGCAAUAAAAUUACAUUGUAUGACUUAAUUACAAUGAUAUAAAAUUUUAGUCAAAAAUUAUAAAAAUUAAAAUUU
Molecule: long non-coding RNA, 646 nt
Filed under: Ananas comosus (pineapple)
Lineage: Eukaryota; Viridiplantae; Streptophyta; Magnoliopsida; Poales; Bromeliaceae
Description: long non-coding RNA (ACOM_LNC005881)
Source: RNAcentral